CGCGUAGGAAUCUACCUAGUAGUGGGGGACAACUCGAGGAAACUCGAGCUAAUACCGCAUACGCUCUAUGGAGGAAAGUGGGGGAUCUUCGGACCUCACGCUAUUAGAGGAGCCUGCGUUAGAUUAGCUAGUUGGUGAGGUAAAGGCUCACCAAGGCUACGAUCUAUAGCUGGUCUGAGAGGACGAUCAGCCACACUGGAACUGAGACACGGUCCAGACUCCUACGGGAGGCAGCAGUAGGGAAUCUUGGGCAAUGGGCGAAAGCCUGACCCAGCGAUGCCGCGUGUGCGAAGAAGGCCU
RNAcentral lists this ribosomal RNA (300 nucleotides) under uncultured Gammaproteobacteria bacterium. Its description in RNAcentral is "bacterial SSU rRNA". It matches the Rfam family "Bacterial small subunit ribosomal RNA", at positions 114 to 417 of the family's 1533-position model. Lineage: Bacteria; Pseudomonadati; Pseudomonadota; Gammaproteobacteria. The record is from RNAcentral.